GGUGGUGAAAUGGCAUCAAAAAGGACUCUUAAUCAAUUGGUCGAGUGUUCGAGUCACUCCAGGCCCACCA
This 70-nucleotide transfer RNA is filed under the name Deltaproteobacteria bacterium CG_4_9_14_3_um_filter_51_14. Its description in RNAcentral is "tRNA-Lys". The record is from RNAcentral. Lineage: Bacteria; Deltaproteobacteria.